This 1575-nucleotide long non-coding RNA is filed under the name Marmota monax (woodchuck). The record is from RNAcentral. Lineage: Eukaryota; Metazoa; Chordata; Mammalia; Rodentia; Sciuridae.
UUUUCCUAGCCGGGGGGUAUUUUCUGGGAACCCUUGGGAGCGACUGUGCUUUGUAAACACUAUUUAAAAUGAGUCAGGCAGGUGCCGCGUCCCCGAGUUGGGUGGGGCCAGGAUGGGCGUGCCAGCCGGCGAAGAGGAAAACAGUUACAAGGAGUUUCUGUUGUUGCGCUGGGGCGUCUUGGACCGGGGAGGUUGCGUAAGAGCACGGAGUUUGUUUAUCUUCGGUGUGAGAGUAAUACAACUGUUUGGCACCAGGGUCGUGCGCAUCCGCGGCUCGUGGACACGGUGUUGUGAAUAACAUCCGUGUAAACCACCCACUGAGACUGCCGGGAAGACGCCUUCUGAGGAUGGGGGCCAGAAAGCACAGCUGUGUUCUGGGUGCAAGUUCUGAGAACCCGCAGACUGCUCCUAGCCUCUGGUUUGCGGUCCAGACCCCCGCCAAGGACCUAGAAUGAAUUGGGUGUGUGGCAACACCCUAGCCUUCUUAAAGAGGGUCUGAAGUUGAUUUGGGGAGAGUUACUAAGUUGGGGAGGGGUCAGGAAAUGUCACGUGAAGUGUGGUUGAAAGAAGUGGAGAUGUUUAACCCAGACAAGGCAGCACUUGGGGACAUGUGACCUGUGUCUGCUAGUAUUGGAGAGACUGUGUAAAUAAGAGGUUAGACUAAUCUCAAGAGGUUAGACAUCUUGUUCUCCCUCUGGACAAAACAGAUUUUUAAAAUUAUUUUACAAGAGGUGAAUUUGAGGUCAGUUAUAAAUACUGAGUAGAAAUGAACACUUGGGAAGUUAGAUCCUGGAGCCAGGUACUGCUAGAUGUUUACAUUUAUUAGCGAGAGAAUAGUGGAGCUGAGAUUUCAUCUGCCAAACUCCAAAGGCUUUGCCUUUCCAGGAUGCAUCUAUUUUAAUAGAAGAAGUUACUUUGUGAAUAAUGAAAUAGCAGAAUGGUUUCUGGAUUGAUGAAUCACACUGUACUGGAGGAUUUGUCUGCCUCUGUUAACCUGUGUGAUGUUUAUCUCAGGUAAAGAGGGAGAUUGUCCUGGGCUAGGGAAAGAUGCCAGGACUGGUUACUUAGAUGGAGGAGGCAUCCAGUCUCACCAGAAAGUCAGACCUUCAUUGGUGGAUAUCUUGUUCUUAUAAGUCCUGUAGCAGUUACUAGAGUAAUCUUGACUUUGAGUUUAACAAAUGUGAUCAUAGUUAUCUCAUUGCCUUCCAUUUAUCUCAUUUCCUCCUAGCCUACUCCUCAGCCCUCACCCUGACAUUUCUUCCCUUUCUCCUCCCCAUCUGCCUUUAUCAGACUAGAAAUGAGACCCAUCUAAGGACUGGAGUGAGUAAAUUUUACCUGACUACAGUGUAGCCUUCAGGUAACACUAUAUGUAGCAACCUGUAAAUUCAGGGAAAAAUGCCCAUGCUGGUUUGAUUCAGCUCUGUGGUCCCCAGGGUAGGGACAUUUAAGACUUAGCCUGUAUGGAUGCAUAAUGGAGAUAACCCUCUAUAAGGGUUUGAAUUUAAUUUGUUUUAUGAAUUAAGAGCUUCAUACUUUGUUUUUUUUUUAAUUUAUUUUUUAAUUAUUUGGUGUGGG